RNAcentral lists this ribosomal RNA (1456 nucleotides) under metagenome. RNAcentral describes it as "bacterial LSU rRNA". It matches the Rfam family "Bacterial large subunit ribosomal RNA", at positions 1462 to 2925 of the family's 2925-position model. The record is from RNAcentral.
CGAUGGAGGGACGCAGGAGGCUAAGGAAUGCACACGAUCGGAAAUGUGUGUCCAAGCAGCAAGUCUGAGAACGAGUGAAAUGCUUUUUCUCUCAAGGACAAGCUGUGAUGGGGAGCGAAAUUUAGUAGCGAAGUUCCUGAUGUCACACUGCCAAGAAAAGCUUCUAGUGAGAAAGUAACUGCCCGUACCGCAAACCGACACAGGUAGUUGAGGAGAGAAUCCUAAGGUGUGCGAGAGAACUCUCGUUAAGGAACUCGGCAAAAUGACCCCGUAACCUCGGGAGAAGGGGUGCUGACCGCAAGGUCAGCCGCAGUGAAUAGGCCCAAGCGACUGUUUAUCAAAAACACAGGUCUCUGCAAAAUCGAAAGAUGACGUAUAGGGGCUGACGCCUGCCCGGUGCUGGAAGGUUAAGAGGAGAGGUUAGCGCAAGCGAAGCUUUGAAUUGAAGCCCCAGUAAACGGCGGCCGUAACAAUAACGGUCCUAAGGUAGCGAAAUUCCUUGUCGGGUAAGUUCCGACCCGCACGAAAGGCGUAACGAUUUGGGCACUGCCUCAACGAGAGACUCGGUGAAAUUAUAGUACCAGUGAAGAUGCUGGUUACCCGCGACAGGACGGAAAGACCCCAUGGAGCUUUACUGCAGUUUGAUAUUGCGUGUUUGUAUCACAUGUACAGGAUAGGUAGGAGCCGAAGAUACCGGGACGCCAGUCUCGGAGGAGGCAACGGUGGGAUACUACCCUUGUGAUAUGACCACUCUAACCCGCUGCUCUUAGCGAGCAGGGAGACAGUGUCAGACGGGCAGUUUGACUGGGGCGGUCGCCUCCAAAAAUGUAACGGAGGCGCCCAAAGGUUCCCUCAGAAUGGUUGGAAAUCAUUCGUAGAGUGUAAAGGCAGAAGGGAGCUUGACUGCGAGACCUACAAGUCGAGCAGGGACGAAAGUCGGGCUUAGUGAUCCGGUGGUUCCGCAUGGAAGGGCCAUCGCUCAACGGGUAAAAGCUACCCUGGGGAUAACAGGCUUAUCUCCCCCAAGAGUUCACAUCGACGGGGAGGUUUGGCACCUCGAUGUCGGCUCAUCGCAUCCUGGGGCUGUAGUCGGUCCCAAGGGUUGGGCUGUUCGCCCAUUAAAGCGGUACGCGAGCUGGGUUCAGAACGUCGUGAGACAGUUCGGUCCCUAUCCGUCGCGGGCGUUGGAAAUUUGAGAGGAGCUGUCCUUAGUACGAGAGGACCGGGAUGGACACACCGCUGGUGUACCAGUUGUUCUGCCAAGAGCAUCGCUGGGUAGCUAUGUGUGGACGGGAUAAACGCUGAAAGCAUCUAAGCGUGAAGCCCCCCUCAAGAUGAGAUUUCCCAUCACUUUAAGUGAGUAAGACCCCUGAGAGAUGAUCAGGUAGAUAGGUUGGGAGUGGAAGUACAGCGAUGUAUGGAGCGGACCAAUACUAAUCGGUCGAGGACUUAACCG